This is a long non-coding RNA of Fundulus heteroclitus (mummichog), 1109 nucleotides long. RefSeq lists it as uncharacterized. NCBI's taxonomy places the organism in Eukaryota, Metazoa, Chordata, Actinopteri, Cyprinodontiformes, Fundulidae. The transcript is spliced from 3 exons. The record is from RefSeq and is a predicted model, not a curated record.
UAAACAAAGAUCACGUGAUACAUAGUGAUAGUUUGUCGCUCUCUCUUUGUAUUGUAUGUCAUAUGUAAAGAAACUUAGAGGUUUUAUAAAUUACUGUGUAAAGAGCAUUAUUAAAUAAUGAUUGAUUCUUAAAAUUAUUCACUAUUAAUUUAUUUGUAGGUAUGUGUUAAGUGGACAUGCACAGGAGGUAUUGUCACACCAAAUUGAUCCAAGCUGCCCCUACAUUGCUCUGAAGACCAAGGUUACUCCAUCCCAGAGAAUACGAGACAAACCACAUGAACCAUGGGUUUAUUUAGAGAAAUCUAGUGGAACUGUCUACUGUGCACAUUGUACAUGCAUGGCUGGGCUUGGAGAAGUAUGCAGCCAUGUGGCGGCACUUUUGUUCAAAGUGGAGAUGGCUGUAAAGAUGGGACUGACCCAAUCAAGCUCCACAAGUAAAGCCUGUCAGUGGAAUAGCUCUUUUCGAAAAGAGGUAACCCCAGCCACCAUCUCUGGAAUAUUCAGUGAAAUUAAAGGAAGACGUACUAAGGAAAUAGAUUCUGUUCAUGCACAUGGUACAGCCCAACUUCCUCCACAAAGUGUUCUGGAUAGCCUUUAUUCCAUUGCACCCAAUGCAGCUUUCUUCACCUCUGUUAACGUGUUGUCACCAAUUGCAAACGCUGAUCUUGUGGGGAGAGAGACAAAAUACCCUCAACUUCUUUCAACGCUACAACAAGAAUUUCAAGAAGAUUCGAUAACAGAACUUUGUGCUGAAGUGUUAAAGAACUAUUCGGUGUCCUCUGCACAAGCCAGCAACUUGGAAUAUGCGACAAGGAACCAGUCUAUCAGUCCACUGUGGUACCAACACCGGACAGGGAGGAUUACUGCUUCCAAAGCCCAUGAUGUUCUCGUUAGACAACCAACAACCAAUCCUGACACUCUUGUAAAGAGAAUAGUAGGAUACAAGGUGUAUGACCUCUCCAAAAGUGCUGCUGUCAAGUGGGGAACUGAGACAGAAGAUGAAUGCAGACAAGCCUACAGUCUUCACCAGAAAGCAGGACAUAUAAAUUUCACCUGUAGGUUAUCAGGGUUUGUGAUUGACCCAAACCAUCCAUUCCUCGGAGCCAGCC